Molecule: ribosomal RNA, 476 nt
Filed under: uncultured bacterium
Lineage: Bacteria
Description: bacterial SSU rRNA
Rfam family: Bacterial small subunit ribosomal RNA
Source: RNAcentral
CGCUGGCGGCGUGCUUAACACAUGCAAGUCGAACGGAGCCCUACAGAACGGAGAUUCGUUGAAGGGAAGUAGGCGCUUAGUGGCGGACGGGUGAGUAACGCGUGAGGAACCUGCCUUUCAGAGGGGGACAACAGAGGGAAACUUCUGCUAAUACCGCAUAAUGUGCUUGGAUCGCAUGAUCCGGGCACCAAAGAUUUAUCGCUGAAAGAUGGCCUCGCGUCUGAUUAGCUAGUUGGUGAGGUAACGGCCCACCAAGGCGACGAUCAGUAGCCGGACUGAGAGGUUGACCGGCCACAUUGGGACUGAGAUACGGCCCAGACUCCUACGGGAGGCAGCAGUGGGGAAUAUUGGGCAAUGGGCGAAAGCCUGACCCAGCAACGCCGCGUGAAGGAAGAAGGCUUUCGGGUUGUAAACUUCUUUGACAGGGGACGAAACAAAUGACGGUACCCUGAAAACAAGCCACGGCUAACUACGUG